AGCAGCCGCGGUAAUUCCAGCUCCAAUAGCGUAUAUUAAAGUUGUUGCAGUUAAAAAGCUCGUAGUUGAAUUUCGGGGUCAGUAGGUCGGUCGUGCCACUGGUAUGAACUGGUUUUACUGAUUCCUCCCUCUUGAAGAACUGUAAUGCCAUUAAUUUGGUGUUGCAGGGAAUCAGGACUGUUACUUUGAAAAAUUAGAGUGUUUAAAGCAGGCUUUAGCUUGAAUACAUUAGCAUGGAAUAAUGAAAUAGGACGUUUGAUCCUAUUUUGUUGGUUUCUAGGAUUGACGUAAUGAUUAAUAGGGAUAGUUGGGGGCAUUAGUAUUCAAUUGUCAGAGGUGAAAUUCUUGGAUUUAUUGAAGACUAACUACUGCGAAAGCAUUUGCCAAGGAUGUUUUCAUUAAUCAAGAACGAAAGUUAGGGGAUCGAAGACGAUCAGAUACCGUCGUAGUCUUAACCAUAAACUAUGCCGACUAGGGAUCGGAUGAUGUUAAUUUUUAAUGACUCAUUCGGCGCCUUACG
This 520-nucleotide ribosomal RNA is filed under the name uncultured Glomus. RNAcentral's name for it is "SSU rRNA". It matches the Rfam family "Eukaryotic small subunit ribosomal RNA", at positions 569 to 1092 of the family's 1831-position model. The record is from RNAcentral. Lineage: Eukaryota; Fungi; Glomeromycota; Glomeromycetes; Glomerales; Glomeraceae.